RNAcentral lists this ribosomal RNA (542 nucleotides) under uncultured bacterium. Its description in RNAcentral is "partial 16S ribosomal RNA". It matches the Rfam family "Bacterial small subunit ribosomal RNA", at positions 355 to 888 of the family's 1533-position model. The record is from RNAcentral.
UGGGGAAUUUUGGACAAUGGGCGAAAGCCUGAUCCAGCAAUGCCGCGUGUGUGAAGAAGGCCUUCGGGUUGUAAAGCACUUUUGUCCGGAAAGAAAUCCUCUGGGUUAAUACCUCGGGGGGAUGACGGUACCGGAAGAAUAAGCACCGGCUAACUACGUGCCAGCAGCCGCGGUAAUACGUAGGGUGCAAGCGUUAAUCGGAAUUACUGGGCGUAAAGCGUGCGCAGGCGGUUUUGUAAGACGGAUGUGAAAUCCCCGGGCUUAACCUGGGAACUGCAUUCGUGACUGCAAGGCUAGAGUAUGGCAGAGGGGGGUUAGAAUUCCACGUGUAGCAGUGAAAUGCGUAGAGAUGUGGAGGAAUACCGAUGGCGAAGGCAGCCCCCUGGGCCAAUACUGACGCUCAUGCACGAAAGCGUGGGGAGCAAACAGGAUUCAGAUACCCUGGUAGUCCACGCCCUAAACGAUGUCAACUAGUUGUUGGGGAUUCAUUUCCUUAGUAACGUAGCUAACGCGUGAAGUUGACCGCCUGGGGAGUACGGUCG